AUUGAACGCUGGCGGCAGGCCUAACACAUGCAAGUCGAGCGGAUGAGUGGAGCUUGCUCCAUGAUUCAGCGGCGGACGGGUGAGUAAUGCCUAGGAAUCUGCCUGGUAGUGGGGGACAACGUUUCGAAAGGAACGCUAAUACCGCAUACGUCCUACGGGAGAAAGUGGGGGAUCUUCGGACCUCACGCUAUCAGAUGAGCCUAGGUCGGAUUAGCUAGUUGGUGAGGUAAAGGCUCACCAAGGCGACGAUCCGUAACUGGUCUGAGAGGAUGAUCAGUCACACUGGAACUGAGACACGGUCCAGACUCCUACGGGAGGCAGCAGUGGGGAAUAUUGGACAAUGGGCGAAAGCCUGAUCCAGCCAUGCCGCGUGUGUGAAGAAGGUCUUCGGAUUGUAAAGCACUUUAAGUUGGGAGGAAGGGCAGUAAGUUAAUACCUUGCUGUUUUGACGUUACCAACAGAAUAAGCACCGGCUAACUUCGUGCCAGCAGCCGCGGUAAUACGAAGGGUGCAAGCGUUAAUCGGAAUUACUGGGCGUAAAGCGCGCGUAGGUGGUUCGUUAAGUUGGAUGUGAAAGCCCCGGGCUCAACCUGGGAACUGCAUCCAAAACUGGCGAGCUAGAGUAUGGCAGANGGUGGUGGAAUUUCCUGUGUAGCGGUGAAAUGCGUAGAUAUAGGAAGGAACACCAGUGGCGAAGCGACCACCUGGGCUAAUACUGACACUGAGGUGCGAAAGCGUGGGGAGCAAACAGGAUUAGACACCCUGGUAGUCCACGCCGUAAAC
This 783-nucleotide ribosomal RNA is filed under the name uncultured bacterium. RNAcentral describes it as "bacterial SSU rRNA". It matches the Rfam family "Bacterial small subunit ribosomal RNA", at positions 28 to 807 of the family's 1533-position model. The record is from RNAcentral.